CUGGGAGAAGGACCUUCCAAGUUUGGCCUCAGAGGACACCAAUAGGUAGCAUAUGAGAUUGGAAGAAAAACCUGCCCAAUUUGGCCUCAGACAACACCAAUAGGUAGCAUAUGGGACUGGAAGAACGAUCUUUAAAAUUUGGCCUCAGAGAACACCAAUAGGUAGCACAUGAGACUGGAAGAAGGACUUGCAAAAUUUGGCCUCAGACGACGCCAAUAGGUAGCAUAUGGGACUGGAAGAAGGAUCUUUAAAAUUGGGCCUCAGAGGACACCUAUAGGGCAGUCUAACCUGUUUUGACACAUCCAGCAAAGAACUAAAAGUGCUUAGAUAGCUCAGGGUAAGCGCACACACUCAGUAAAAGUUACCCCUUAAGCUCUUAUUUCGCAGCUAACAUAUAAGACUGGAAGAAGGCUGUUCAAAAUUUCGCAUCAGAAAACACCAAUAGGUCAGAUUCACCUGUUUUGACACUUUCAGCAAAGAACUAAAAGUGCUUAGAUUGCUUAGAGUAAGCACACAGACUCAAUAGAAGGUACCCCUUAAGCUCUUAUUUCUCAGGUAGCACAUGAGACUGGAAGAAGGACUUGCAAAAUUUGGCCUCAGACAACGCCAAUAGGUCAGUUUUACCUGUUUUAACAUUUUUAGCAAUGAAAUAUAAAGUGCUUAGAUUGCUCAAUGUAAG
This is a long non-coding RNA of Ornithodoros turicata, 679 nucleotides long. RefSeq lists it as uncharacterized. The transcript has 5 exons. NCBI's taxonomy places the organism in Eukaryota, Metazoa, Arthropoda, Arachnida, Ixodida, Argasidae. The record is from RefSeq and is a predicted model, not a curated record.